This is a long non-coding RNA of Gymnodraco acuticeps, 359 nucleotides long. RefSeq lists it as uncharacterized. The record is from RefSeq and is a predicted model, not a curated record. The transcript has 3 exons. Lineage: Eukaryota; Metazoa; Chordata; Actinopteri; Perciformes; Bathydraconidae.
CUACGUGGAACAGAUUGAUGUAUGACCAGACAGAGAGAACGAACAAGAGGAAAGAAAGUUCAUUUAAGUGGAGAAAGAUAUAAGAAGAUGUACUGUCCAUUCUGUGGUUCCAGCGUGACAUCUUCGCAUGGCUUUUGUGGUGUCUGUGGCAGAGACAUCACAUUUCUAAAAGAUGUGACUAACAAAGUCCCUGAGGAGAUGCCCACCACUAGUGCGCAUCUAAGUGCACAGCCUAGCACCAGUGCAGCAGGAAGCUCAGCUGUAGAGUCCUUUCAGAAAUAUAGGGAAAUAAAAAAGAGGGAGAGACCUUUUUUACAAAGGGACGGCAUAACUCCAAAAAUAAACAGAAAUUGGUGAAG